UUAAGCGACUAAGCGUACACGGUGGAUGCCCUGGCAGUCAGAGGCGAUGAAGGACGUGCUAAUCUGCGAAAAGCGUCGGUAAGGUGAUAUGAACCGUUAUAACCGGCGAUGUCCGAAUGGGGAAACCCAGUGCAAUUCGUUGCACUAUCGUUAACUGAAUACAUAGGUUAACGAGGCGAACCGGGGGAACUGAAACAUCUAAGUACCCCGAGGAAAAGAAAUCAACCGAGAUUCCCCCAGUAGCGGCGAGCGAACGGGGAGCAGCCCAGAGUCUGAAUCAGCUUGUGUGUUAGUGGAACGGUCUGGAAAGUCCGACGGUACAGGGUGAUAGUCCCGUACACCAAAAUGCACAGGCUGUGAACUCGAAGAGUAGGGCGGGACACGUGGUAUCCUGUCUGAAUAUGGGGGGACCAUCCUCCAAGGCUAAAUACUCCUGACUGACCGAUAGUGAACCAGUACCGUGAGGGAAAGGCGAAAAGAACCCCGGCGAGGGGAGUGAAAAAGAACCUGAAACCGUGUACGUACAAGCAGUGGGAGCACCUUCGGGUGUGACUGCGUACCUUUUGUAUAAUGGGUCAGCGACUUAUAUUCUGUAGCAAGGUUAACCGUAUAGGGGAGCCGCAGGGAAACCGAGUCUUAACUGGGCGUUAAGUUGCAGGGUAUAGACCCGAAACCCGGUGAUCUAGCCAUGGGCAGGUUGAAGGUUGGGUAACACUAACUGGAGGACCGAACCGACUAAUGUUGAAAAAUUAGCGGAUGACUUGUGGCUGGGGGUGAAAGGCCAAUCAAACCGGGAGAUAGCUGGUUCUCCCCGAAAGCUAUUUAGGUAGCGCCUCGUGAACUCAUCUUCGGGGGUAGAGCACUGUUUCGGCUAGGGGGUCAUCCCGACUUACCAACCCGAUGCAAACUACGAAUACCGAAGAAUGUUAUCACGGGAGACACACGGCGGGUGCUAACGUCCGUCGUGAAGAGGGAAACAACCCAGACCGCCAGCUAAGGUCCCAAAGUCAUGGUUAAGUGGGAAACGAUGUGGGAAGGCACAGACAGCCAGGAUGUUGGCUUAGAAGCAGCCAUCAUUUAAAGAAAGCGUAAUAGCUCACUGGUCGAGUCGGCCUGCGCGGAAGAUGUAACGGGGCUAAACCAUGCACCGAAGCUGCGGCAGCGACACUAUGUGUUGUUGGGUAGGGGAGCGUUCUGUAAGCCUGCGAAGGUGUGCUGUGAGGCAUGCUGGAGGUAUCAGAAGUGCGAAUGCUGACAUAAGUAACGAUAAAGCGGGUGAAAAGCCCGCUCGCCGGAAGACCAAGGGUUCCUGUCCAACGUUAAUCGGGGCAGGGUGAGUCGACCCCUAAGGCGAGGCCGAAAGGCGUAGUCGAUGGGAAACAGGUUAAUAUUCCUGUACUUGGUGUUACUGCGAAGGGGGGACGGAGAAGGCUAUGUUAGCCGGGCGACGGUUGUCCCGGUUUAAGCAUGUAGGCUGGUUGUCCAGGCAAAUCCGGAUAAUCAAGGCUGAGGUGUGAUGACGAGGCACUACGGUGCUGAAGUAACAAAUGCCCUGCUUCCAGGAAAAGCCUCUAAGCAUCAGGUAACAUUAAAUCGUACCCCAAACCGACACAGGUGGUCAGGUAGAGAAUACCAAGGCGCUUGAGAGAACUCGGGUGAAGGAACUAGGCAAAAUGGUGCCGUAACUUCGGGAGAAGGCACGCUGGUGUGUAGGUGAAGUCCCUGCGGAUGGAGCUGAGACCAGUCGAAGAUACCAGCUGGCUGCAACUGUUUAUUAAAAACACAGCACUGUGCAAACACGAAAGUGGACGUAUACGGUGUGACGCCUGCCCGGUGCCGGAAGGUUAAUUGAUGGGGUUAUCCGUAAGGAGAAGCUCUUGAUCGAAGCCCCGGUAAACGGCGGCCGUAACUAUAACGGUCCUAAGGUAGCGAAAUUCCUUGUCGGGUAAGUUCCGACCUGCACGAAUGGCGUAAUGAUGGCCAGGCUGUCUCCACCCGAGACUCAGUGAAAUUGAACUCGCUGUGAAGAUGCAGUGUACCCGCGGCAAGACGGAAAGACCCCGUGAACCUUUACUAUAGCUUGACACUGAACAUUGAGCCUUGAUGUGUAGGAUAGGUGGGAGGCUUUGAAGCGUGGACGCCAGUCUGCGUGGAGCCAACCUUGAAAUACCACCCUUUAAUGUUUGAUGUUCUAACGUUGGCCCCUGACCGGGGUUGCGGACAGUGUCUGGUGGGUAGUUUGACUGGGGCGGUCUCCUCCCAAAGCGUAACGGAGGAGCACGAAGGUUAGCUAAUCCUGGUCGGACAUCAGGAGGUUAGUGCAAUGGCAUAAGCUAGCUUGACUGCGAGCGUGACGGCGCGAGCAGGUGCGAAAGCAGGUCAUAGUGAUCCGGUGGUUCUGAAUGGAAGGGCCAUCGCUCAACGGAUAAAAGGUACUCCGGGGAUAACAGGCUGAUACCGCCCAAGAGUUCAUAUCGACGGCGGUGUUUGGCACCUCGAUGUCGGCUCAUCACAUCCUGGGGCUGAAGUAGGUCCCAAGGGUAUGGCUGUUCGCCAUUUAAAGUGGUACGCGAGCUGGGUUUAGAACGUCGUGAGACAGUUCGGUCCCUAUCUGCCGUGGGCGCUGGAGAAUUGAGGGGGGCUGCUCCUAGUACGAGAGGACCGGAGUGGACGCAUCACUGGUGUUCGGGUUGUCAUGCCAAUGGCACUGCCCGGUAGCUAAAUGCGGAAGAGAUAAGUGCUGAAAGCAUCUAAGCACGAAACUUGCCCCGAGAUGAGUUCUCCCUGAGACUUUAAGUCUCCUGAAGGAACGUUAAAGACGAUGACGUUGAUAGGCCGGGUGUGUAAGCGCAGCGAUGCGUUGAGCUAACCGGUACUAAUGAACCGUGAGGCUUAACCU
This 2899-nucleotide ribosomal RNA is filed under the name Klebsiella pneumoniae. Its description in RNAcentral is "23S ribosomal RNA". It matches the Rfam family "Bacterial large subunit ribosomal RNA". Lineage: Bacteria; Pseudomonadati; Pseudomonadota; Gammaproteobacteria; Enterobacterales; Enterobacteriaceae. The record is from RNAcentral.